GAGUGUCAAGUCAGCAUGGCCUUUACUAUCCUGGGCUACACACACGCUACAAUGGCAGAUACAAUAGGUUGCGAAACCGCGAGGUGGAGCCAAUCCUCAAAGUCUGUCUCAGUUCAGAUUGUAGGCUGCAACUCGCCUGCAUGAAGUUGGAGUUGCUAGUAAACGCAGGUCAGCUAUACUGCGUUGAAUACGUUCCCGGGGUUU
Molecule: ribosomal RNA, 204 nt
Filed under: uncultured Leptolinea sp.
Lineage: Bacteria; Bacillati; Chloroflexota; Anaerolineae; Anaerolineales; Anaerolineaceae
Description: partial 16S ribosomal RNA
Rfam family: Bacterial small subunit ribosomal RNA
Source: RNAcentral